UGGGGCUACACACGUCAUACAAUGGCUGGUACAAAGGGUUGCCAACCCGCGAGGGGGAGCCAAUCCCAUAAAGCCAGUCGUAGUCCGGAUCGCAGUCUGCAACUCGACUGCGUGAAGUCGGAAUCGCUAGUAAUCGUGGAUCAGCAUGUCACGGUGAAUACGUUCCCGGGUCUU
This 174-nucleotide ribosomal RNA is filed under the name uncultured Comamonas sp. Its description in RNAcentral is "partial 16S ribosomal RNA". It matches the Rfam family "Bacterial small subunit ribosomal RNA", at positions 1209 to 1382 of the family's 1533-position model. Lineage: Bacteria; Pseudomonadati; Pseudomonadota; Betaproteobacteria; Burkholderiales; Comamonadaceae. The record is from RNAcentral.